Molecule: non-coding RNA, 122 nt
Organism: Picea glauca (white spruce)
Lineage: Eukaryota; Viridiplantae; Streptophyta; Pinopsida; Pinales; Pinaceae
Source: Rfam
AUGUAAUGUAAUUCCUACAGUAUUAAUGCACCAAAUCCGACUAGAAAUCUAUAGUCAAGUGAAUUUGGGAUAGAUUAGUACUGGGAUGGGUGACCUCAUAGGAAGUCCUAGUGUAUUGCAUG